AUGGGUAAAACCUGUGCAAUUGCACAUCUACCUUUUCCAUUAAACCUGUUUGUAUCACUGUGGGUCACUUUUGGUGGAGGAACCAAACUGUCUGUGGGCCGUCUCACCCAGCCCACUGUGACAGUUCUGCCUCCCUCCAGUGUGGACCUGCAGCAGGAGAAGGUCACACUCAUGUGUGUGGCCUAUAAGGGCUUCCCCUCGGACUGGAGGCUGAGCUGGAAGGUUGAUGGGAGCAGCUUGAGCUCGGGGGAGAGCCACAGCACCGCCGUUCUGCACGCGGACGGCCUCUACAGCUGGAGCAGCACGCUGAGCAUCCACCCGGAGCAGUGGAGGAACAAGGUGGUGACCUGUGAGGCCUCCAAUGACAACCAACCUCCUGUGGUGAGCUCAGUGGACAGAGAGCAGUGCUAAGAGCUGUGAGCUCACACACACUUUACUCAGCUCACCUUCUACUGUGUGUUACAUGUGGCCCACUUUCAUAAUUUCAUGUGCGGUAUUAACGGGAGCUCACACACUCCUCAGUUUAAAUCAGCUCUUUUUCUUCAUUAUCACCUAAAUAUGUGUUAAGUGUGUUUAUCACUGCAAUGUCCUGCUUUGAAUUAUUAAUAAAAGCCUUUGAAUCAGUAAA
Pangasianodon hypophthalmus (striped catfish) is the source of this 628-nucleotide non-coding RNA. The record is from the annotation of a RefSeq genome assembly. Lineage: Eukaryota; Metazoa; Chordata; Actinopteri; Siluriformes; Pangasiidae.